This 539-nucleotide ribosomal RNA is filed under the name Nidirana okinavana (Kampira Falls frog). RNAcentral describes it as "partial 16S ribosomal RNA". It matches the Rfam family "Bacterial large subunit ribosomal RNA", at positions 1832 to 2587 of the family's 2925-position model. The record is from RNAcentral. Lineage: Eukaryota; Metazoa; Chordata; Amphibia; Anura; Ranidae.
CGCUCUUGACAAAACAUAAGAGGUCCAGCCUGCCCAGUGACAAAGUUCAACGGCCGCGGUACCCUAACCGUGCGAAGGUAGCAUAAUCACUUGUUCUUUAAAUGAGGACUCGUAUCAACGGCACUACGAGGGCUAUACUGUCUCCUUUUUCCAAUCAGUGAAACUGAUCUUCCCGUGAAGAAGCGGGAAUCAAAAUAUAAGACGAGAAGACCCCAUGGAGCUUUAAACUCUCUAUGCACCUCUGUGCCCCCUAUCAUAUGACACAAUAAUCCUGCAUACUAGUUUUAGGUUGGGGGGACCACGGAGUACAAAUUAACCUCCACAACAAACGGAUUAACACCCUUAUCCACGAGACACAACUCUAAGAAUUACUAAAUUAAUGCUUAUGACCCGAUAUUCGAUCAAUGAACCAAGUUACCCUGGGGAUAACAGCGCAAUCUACUUCAAGAGCCCAUAUCGACAAGUAGGUUUACGACCUCGAUGUUGGAUCAGGGUAUCCCGGUGGUGCAGCCGCUACCGACGGUUCGUUUGUUCAACGA